CGGGCUGCGCGCGCUGCGUGAGGGGGCGCUCGAGGAGGCGGCGGCUGCGGGGGCUCCGGCGGCGGUUUCGGCUCCGGCUCCGGCGGCGGUUUCGGCUCCGGCGGCUCGACAUGGCUGAGGUGGAAGAAACACUGAAGCGAAUUCAGAGCCAUCAAGGAGUGGAAGGGUUAAUUGUUGUUAAUUCUGAAGGUACUCCUAUUAGAAGCACUAUGGACAACUCCACCACGAUUCAGUACGCCGGGCUGAUGGGCAGCAUCGUCACGCAGGCGCGGAGCGCUGUGCGAGACAUCGACCCCCAGAACGACCUCACCUUCCUGCGGAUCCGCUCCAAGAAAAACGAGGUCAUGCUUGGAACAGAAAACGACUACUUGCUGAUCGUCAUCCAGAAUAGACCUGAGUGAUUACACUGACUUGGUCUGUUUUUUUCCCUUUGCCUGACUGUCCUCUUUUUAUUUAAUGCUUUUGACCAUUAUGACUCGUCCUGUCACUGGGCACCACAGAAAAAACAACUGGCCCCAUCCUCGUGAUAUGCACCUUUUAAAUACUUGUAAGUGUUAAUGAGAUCCCCUCUCAGCCUUCUCCAGGCUGAACAAUCCCAGGUCCCACAGCUUUUCCUCCUCACAUAGAGAAAUGUUCCAUCCCCUCAGCAUCUUGGUGGCCCUGCAGCCACCAGCAGUUCCCUGUCUCUCUUGAGCUGAGGAGCCCAGAACCGGACAGGGGGCAGAGUAGAGGGGGAGCAGAACCUCCUUUGACCUGCUGCCCACACUCUUCUUGAUACCUCAGGAUGCCAUUGGCUUCUUGCCCACGAGGGCACGUUUCUGGCUCAUGUUUAGUUUGCUGUCCACCAGCACAUACCUGCUGCAUUGGAAUGAAAAUUUCCUUGGUCCACGUCUCAUUCUUGUAAGUCCAUGAACAUGCUGAGAAGCUCCAGGGCUCUUGUGAGCCAGUGUCUUCUCCCCACUCCACGUGAAUGAAUAAUCUUCUAUGGAAUUACAGCCCCAGUCCUGCAGUGAGGUCUGUGUGGAUGAAAUCGGGGAUCAGAUCACUACGUUAGAAACUCCUGCCUCUCACUAAAGAAGGGUUAUCACUUUAUAGCAGUGGUAAAAAGUCCAUUGCCUGAGGGUGCGGUCUGUAAAGUUGUCCAGCCUGCCAGUUCAACAUUGCUGCUUUUCCUUCCUUUUUCCUUCUGGUUAAAAGGACCAGAAAAUACAUUGAAAAUUAAUGUCUCUGCCUGUAAAAGUCAGUCUGAGGAGCUGACAAUUCCUUUCCAGUUUGUAUUCAACUACUGCUCCUGCUUGAUCAAAGCAGAACCCAUGAUGUCGGCUGUGACAGCAGUUGCUUCCUUUCUUGGGUAAACUCUACAAGAAUUUGUUCAAUUGUGGUUACACAUGUUUUUCUUUCAAUUGGUGACCCUUUUAAUAAUUGGAGCAGUCUGUUAAUAAAUGCAUCUUUUGUGUCUUUCUUC
RNA transcript from Colius striatus (speckled mousebird), 1465 nucleotides. It is a transcript of the gene named dynein light chain roadblock-type 1-like, with no coding region annotated. The record is from RefSeq and is a predicted model, not a curated record. NCBI's taxonomy places the organism in Eukaryota, Metazoa, Chordata, Aves, Coliiformes, Coliidae. The transcript is spliced from 5 exons.